AACGAACGCUGGCGGCAUGCCUAACACAUGCAAGUCGAACGAGACCUUCGGGUCUAGUGGCGCACGGGUGCGUAACGCGUGGGAACCUGCCCCUAGGUUCGGAAUAACUCCCCGAAAGGGGUGCUAAUACCGGAUAAUGUCUUCGGACCAAAGAUUUAUCGCCUUUGGAUGGGCCCGCGUUGGAUUAGCUAGUUGGUAGGGUAAAAGCCUACCAAGGCGACGAUCCAUAGCUGGUCUGAGAGGAUGAUCAGCCACACUGGGACUGAGACACGGCCCAGACUCCUACGGGAGGCAGCAGUAGGGAAUAUUGGACAAUGGGCGAAAGCCUGAUCCAGCAAUGCCGCGUGAGUGAUGAAGGCCUUAGGGUUGUAAAGCUCUUUUACCCGGGAUGAUAAUGACAGUACCGGGAGAAUAAGCUCCGGCUAACUCCGUG
This 433-nucleotide ribosomal RNA is filed under the name uncultured bacterium. RNAcentral's name for it is "partial 16S ribosomal RNA". It matches the Rfam family "Bacterial small subunit ribosomal RNA", at positions 29 to 507 of the family's 1533-position model. The record is from RNAcentral.